Molecule: non-coding RNA, 279 nt
Organism: Pelobates cultripes (western spadefoot toad)
Lineage: Eukaryota; Metazoa; Chordata; Amphibia; Anura; Pelobatidae
Source: the annotation of a GenBank genome assembly
CGCAGUUGCACUUGUUCUGCAGCAAUACAUUUUAGAAUUUUCUGAAAAGAUUGAUGUAUAUUUAUUUAUUCUUCUUUGUCUGUUUUGAUGCAGAAGGUGUGUAUGUAUAUAUAUGUAUGUAUAUGUAUAUAUAUAUUUGACUUCACAGUAUGCUCAUUGACUAUUUCUAGUGUUUACUGUGAUAAGCCUGAGAAAAAUCUGAAUUUAAAAAAAAAUCUGUGUCUAACUUAUCAGACUUUUCACAUUUGUAUAAUGCGACACUGUACUACACAAAGUUUU